This 480-nucleotide ribosomal RNA is filed under the name uncultured bacterium. RNAcentral's name for it is "bacterial SSU rRNA". It matches the Rfam family "Bacterial small subunit ribosomal RNA", at positions 30 to 506 of the family's 1533-position model. The record is from RNAcentral.
UUGAACGCUGGCGGCAUGCUUUACACAUGCAAGUCGAACGGUAACAGGCCUUCGGGUGCUGACGAGUGGCGAACGGGUGAGUAAUGCAUCGGAACGUGCCCAAUCGUGGGGGAUAACGUAGCGAAAGUUACGCUAAUACCGCAUACGCCCUGAGGGGGAAAGCAGGGGAUCUUCGGACCUUGUGCGAAUGGAGCGGCCGAUGUCAGAUUAGCUAGUUGGUGGGGUAAAGGCUCACCAAGGCGACGAUCUGUAGCUGGUCUGAGAGGACGACCAGCCACACUGGAACUGAGACACGGUCCAGACUCCUACGGGAGGCAGCAGUGGGGAAUUUUGGACAAUGGGCGCAAGCCUGAUCCAGCAAUGCCGCGUGCAGGAUGAAGGCCUUCGGGUUGUAAACUGCUUUUGUACGGAACGAAAAGACUCCUUCUAAUAAAGGGGGUUCAUGACGGUACCGUAAGAAUAAGCACCGGCUAACUACGU